Rhineura floridana is the source of this 1026-nucleotide long non-coding RNA. RefSeq lists it as uncharacterized. The transcript is spliced from 2 exons. The record is from RefSeq and is a predicted model, not a curated record. NCBI's taxonomy places the organism in Eukaryota, Metazoa, Chordata, Lepidosauria, Squamata, Rhineuridae.
UUUUGCAAAAAAACAAAAAAGUAAACUUGUCAUCAUACAUACCCUCAAGAUUGGGAGGAUUCCACAUGCGAAUAAUAGUUCUAAACAAGCAAUUGGAAGAUGUGUAGGAGGCAAGAUGCCAGAGUACAGCGGAAUACCCUAGGGGCGCUUCACUUCUGGAACCGCUUGAAUGAAACAGUAUAAAAGGAGCUUGCUUGUCGUCGAUCCUGGACUGAAUCUAUUUGGCUUUUGGUUGGUGCUGUUUUGGAUUUGCCCGGAGUUCCAUAAAAAAGAUGGCAUACCAAUUUCAGCAGUGCAAACAGCCCUGCCUCCCACCUCCCAACUGUUGCCCUAAAGGCGAUACGAAAUAUGGAGACGUCUUCCCCCCUGUGUGCCCAGUGCCCUGUGGUCCAAGUUGCAUCCAGCCGCCCCCUGACAAGUCUAUGAGUGCUUGCCCUCCACCAUGCUCAGAUCCAUGCGCUAAAAUCAUCGGGGAGCCCUGCGCUCCUGUGGGCACCACUCCAUAUGCUCCAAAGUGCAAUGACGCAUACACCCCCAAAUGUGUGGAUCCAUGUGCCCCGAAGUGUGUGGUUCCAUGUCCUGAGCCCUGUCAAUCAGUCUAUGCCCCACCAUGUGUCCCAGUUGGCAUUGACUCAUGUGCUUCAAAAUGCGUUCCUGUGGAUCAGCCCUGUAAGCAACGCCCUUGUUAAUGACACGUGCGCUGUCAUCAAAAGGCCCCCAGAAACUUGAGAUAAAUUCUGGAGCUGUGCAUGGCAUCAAUCAAGCUUUUCUUCCUGGCUCUUUUGCAUCUUAUCUUGGGGAAAAAAUGUCUCUGAGGGUCCUUUGCCAAUUUAAUGCACCUUUUCCUUGGAAUAUUUAAGUCACUGGUUGUUCAUCCCACUUGGGGUAUUGCAUGCGCUUGAGAGGGGGAAGUUUAUGUACAACGUAUUUAUCUGUGAUGUUCUCCUCCCCGACACACUGGCCUCUCAGAAUUUCAAAACAUUGAGUGUUGCCUUGCAAAAAAAAUAAAAGUUAUACUUUGUCGCA